UUAAACGGCCGCGGUAUCCUAACCGUGCAAAGGUAGCAUAAUCACUUGUCCUCUAAAUAAGGACUAGAAUGAACGGUCAAAUGAGGAUUAAACUGUCUCUUACAUUCAACCAAUAAAACUGAUCUUUUAGUUAAAAAGCUAAAAUACACCCAUAAGACGAGAAGACCCUGUGGAGCUUUAGACCAAGCUCACACCUUAUGCCCACUUGGUUUUUAGUUGGGGCGACUUCGGAGUACAAAAAAACCUCCAUCAAACCUCAUGUGUUAAGACCAACAUGCCAAAACACCCUUGAACCUAGACCCAGUAGCCCUAAGACUACCUGAUCAAUGAACCAAGUUACCCCAGGGAUAACAGCGCCAUCCUCUUCUAGAGUUCAUAUCGACAAGAGGGUUUACGACCUCGAUGUUGGAUCAGGACACCCAAAUAGUGCAGCCGCUAUUAAAGGUUCGUUUGUUCAACGAUAAAAGUCCUACGUGAUCU
RNAcentral lists this ribosomal RNA (480 nucleotides) under Tropidosaura montana montana. RNAcentral describes it as "partial 16S ribosomal RNA". It matches the Rfam family "Bacterial large subunit ribosomal RNA", at positions 1923 to 2606 of the family's 2925-position model. The record is from RNAcentral. Lineage: Eukaryota; Metazoa; Chordata; Lepidosauria; Squamata; Lacertidae.